AAUGGCAGUGGAAAAUAACUCUUCGGUGACUGAAUUUAUCCUUGUGAGAUUAACAAACUCCCGCUGCCCCAGUGUUUUAUUCUUAAUGUGGUCCCUGUGGGGAGAAUUUGAACAUAAUUUUAUGUCCCUAAAUUCUCACCUUCAUACCCCCACACACUUUUUCCUCUUCACGCUAUCCUUCAUUGAUGUCUGCUAUUCAUUUGUCUGUACCACAAAAAUUCCAAUGGGCUUUAUCUCAGAGAGGAACAUCAUCUCCUUUGUGGGAUGGCCAACGUAGCUAUAUUUCUUUUGCAUCUUUGUCAAAGAACCUAAAAAUGGGGUCAUUGUGGGAAUAAUGUUCUCAGCCAAGAUGCUUGUAGCCGAGAGAUAAUGGACUAGUCGUUGAUGUGAAACUAGAAAAUGCACAUGGCCCUAGAAAGGUCUGAUUUUAGAAUGGGAUAAACAGGAUCUGCUACAAAGAAACAUUUAAUCAUAUUCUUGUAUUACAGCGAUUAUUUCCAGAGAUAGUGAGGCUGCAGAGCUUUGGGACAAGGUUCCUUAGCGAAGCAAGACACACUCUCUAGAAUUGCACAUGUACUUUAAAAAGUCUGUUACAUAUUAUAAUAUGUUUUUAUAUUUGGAAACAGAAAAAAAUAAGUUAUUUAUAUCACAAAUCAUAGAAAAUGGAUCUUUACAAAAUCUUCAUGUUUUGUGGGUUACUCACAAGAAAAAUUUUCUCCGUCCAUUUCUACUUCUCAAAUGGUUCAAGGAAAAAUGCUCCUUAAAGGAUAUAUCUGAUUCUGGAGAAUGAGCUUACCUAUGUGUGCAAUUUUUAUCUUUGUCAGAAGAUACUACUACCUUCUGAAAAAGUUGAAAACACUGCUUUAUAA
RNAcentral lists this long non-coding RNA (869 nucleotides) under Homo sapiens (human). Its description in RNAcentral is "non-protein coding lnc-OR8B3-1:1". The record is from RNAcentral. Lineage: Eukaryota; Metazoa; Chordata; Mammalia; Primates; Hominidae.